CCUACGGGUGGCAGCAGUAGGGAAUUUUCGUCAAUGGGCGCAAGCCUGAACGAGCGAUGCCGCGUGAGUGAAGAAGGCCUUCGGGUCGGAAAGCUCUGUUGCGGGGGAAAAAAGGCAGCAUCCGGAAAUGGGUGCUGACUGAUGGUGCCCCGCCAGAAAGUCACGGCUAACUACGUGCCAGCAGCCGCGGUAAUACGUAGGUGGUGAGCGUUGUCCGGAAGGAUUGGGCGUAACGGGUGCGCAGGCGGUCCUGCAAGUCUGGAGUGAAACGCAUGAGCUCAACUCAUGCAGGGCUUUGGAAACUGGCGGACGGGAGAGCAGGAGAGGGCGGUGGAACGCCAGGUGUAGCGGUAAAAUGCGUAGAUAUAGGGAAGAACACCAGUGGCGAAGGCGGCCGCCUGGCCUGUUGCUGACGCUGAGGAGCGAAAGCGUGGGUAGCAAACAGGAUUAGAUACCCCAGUAGUC
This 465-nucleotide ribosomal RNA is filed under the name uncultured bacterium. RNAcentral describes it as "partial 16S ribosomal RNA". It matches the Rfam family "Bacterial small subunit ribosomal RNA", at positions 338 to 795 of the family's 1533-position model. The record is from RNAcentral.